UUUGAUGGCGACCGGCGCACGGGUGAGUAACACGUAUCCAACCUGCCGAUGACUCGGGGAUAGCCUUUCGAAAGAAAGAUUAAUACCCGAUGGCAUAGUUCUUCCGCAUGGUAGAACUAUUAAAGAAUUUCGGUCAUCGAUGGGGAUGCGUUCCACUAGGUUGUUGGCGGGGUAACGGCCCACCAAGCCUUCGAUGGAUAGGGGUUCUGAGAGGAAGGUCCCCCACAUUGGAACUGAGACACGGUCCAAACUCCUACGGGAGGCAGCAUG
Molecule: ribosomal RNA, 270 nt
Filed under: uncultured bacterium
Lineage: Bacteria
Description: partial 16S ribosomal RNA
Rfam family: Bacterial small subunit ribosomal RNA
Source: RNAcentral